Molecule: ribosomal RNA, 433 nt
Filed under: uncultured bacterium
Lineage: Bacteria
Description: partial 16S ribosomal RNA
Rfam family: Bacterial small subunit ribosomal RNA
Source: RNAcentral
AACGAACGCUGGCGGCAUGCCUAACACAUGCAAGUCGAACGAGACCUUCGGGUCUAGUGGCGCACGGGUGCGUAACGCGUUGGAACCUGCCCUUAGGUUCGGAAUAACUCCCCGAAAGGGGUGCUAAUACCGGAUAAUGUCUUCGGACCAAAGAUUUAUCGCCUUUGGAGGGGCCCGCGUUGGAUUAGCUAGUUGGUAGGGUAAAAGCCUACCAAGGCGACGAUCCAUAGCUGGUCUGAGAGGAUGAUCAGCCACACUGGGACUGAGACACGGCCCAGACUGCUACGGGAGGGAGCAGUGGGGAAUAUUGGAAAAGGGGGGAAAGCCUGAUCAAGCAAUGCCGGGUGAGUGAUGAAGGCCUUAGGGUAGUAAAGCUCUUUUACCCGGGAUGAUAAUGACAGUACCGGGAGAAUAAGCACCGGCUAACUCCGUG